UACGUAGGGUGCGAGCGUUGUCCGGAAUUACUGGGCGUAAAGAGCUCGUAGGUGGUUUGUCGCGUUGUUCGUGAAAUCUCACGGCUUAACUGUGAGCGUGCGGGCGAUACGGGCAGACUAGAGUACUGCAGGGGAGACUGGAAUUCCUGGUGUAGCGGUGGAAUGCGCAGAUAUCAGGAGGAACACCGGUGGCGAAGGUGGUCCUCUGGGCAGUAACUGACGAUCAGGAGCGAAAGCGUGGGGAGCGAACAGG
This 253-nucleotide ribosomal RNA is filed under the name uncultured bacterium. RNAcentral describes it as "partial 16S ribosomal RNA". It matches the Rfam family "Bacterial small subunit ribosomal RNA", at positions 524 to 776 of the family's 1533-position model. The record is from RNAcentral.